This is a long non-coding RNA of Daucus carota subsp. sativus, 3073 nucleotides long. RefSeq lists it as uncharacterized. Lineage: Eukaryota; Viridiplantae; Streptophyta; Magnoliopsida; Apiales; Apiaceae. The record is from RefSeq and is a predicted model, not a curated record. The transcript has 3 exons.
UUCGGCACGGCUCGGACCGGCCGUUUGCCACCUCUGCCUGCCAGUACCCAGGCAAAGAGGCAAAAUAAAAUGCAAACGAAACGGAGGGAAAGUUCAAAACAAAGGCGAGGGAGAUUAAAAACGCUGGAGAAGCAACCAUACCUAAACGUUAAACCCUUCCCCAACAAAUCAGCCUGGAUGACUGGAUCACUGGAUCAGGGCUUAACGAUCCAAUUAAAUUUCAUCAAACGUAUUUAGCUCGUCAUUUGUCAAGUGUUUCUUGAUUGGAAGAACCUGAGCAUUUGACCAGAUGAUAUCAUGAUGGGAGGCUACCUAGAAAAAUUGAUCAAAUGUUUAUAAUAUAAUGAGAGGAUGGGUGUACUGAUGAGCUAUAUCAGAAAGAUGGGACUAUAAAAGGGAAGACAGUCACUGGAGGAGUCCCAUUUACCUAUUUAUAAAGCCGCGGAUUGGGUAAUCGUCCUCAAUAUUGUUUAAAAUAUCAGGUUUGCCAUCUAAUAGAUAAGUGAUGGAUGCAUAGAACUAUAGAAGUGGUCCUGCCUAGAUUAAGAAAAUGAAGGGUAGAGUUGUUUUUUAUCUAGUUUUGUUGAGACGUGACCCAGUGAAUAAGGUAAGUCAGUUUGUUAGUCCCUUGUUAUGUACACUAACCCAGCCUCAUGUGCCAAGAAGUGAUCCAGAUAAAGAUGAAGUAAUACAUGGUUAGCUCAUUAAGGUACCAGCCAGGCAUAUAAUGCACUCUCACACAAUGAACUAGUAACCUUAUCCAAUAAGCUAUAUAUGUGUAUACAUAUCGUUGAUAUAUCUUUUAAGUUCUCAUCUAAUAUAGAAAAAGAAGUGUACUUGAAGGAAGUAAUCAACAUAAUGAGAACGUGGGUAUUGUAGUUUUUUACACCAACGAAGGACGCGUUAAAGAAUUGUUAUUGAGAAUCCGAGUACUGUAGUUUUUACACUGAAACAUUCUCUCAUGUGAAAUUUACUCUAUUUUUAUGUUUGAAACAAAUAGGUUCCCAGUGCGGAAUAAGCUAGUUUAUAGGUUUCGUGCUAUACUGCUUGUUAUCAGCUUUGUCAUUGUUUUAAUUAUUUUGAUGCAUUUUGGAGAUUUCCCUGUUCUCUGGCGAGAGAAGUGAGGUUAAUCUGGUUUGCCUUUCAAGUUCUGGCAUAUAAGAUAAGUAAAGAUGGUCAUUUUAAUGUGGUUUUUCCAUUAAAAAGCAGAAUUUUAUUUCAUCUGAGUUCUUUGCAGAAAGAAGUGAUAGUGUUGCUAAUAGCAAAGAUAAAAUGUACAUAUAUGAUAUAUGGAUAAAGAUAGGAGAACAUGUCCUCUACUGGAUUGUGCAUAUUGUGUUGGUCCAUUUUGGUGUGAACACAAAAUUAUCAUUGUGGUGAACAGUGAUGUUCACGAGAAUGUAGUUAAGGUUGGGAUCUGGAAUCUGACCACCACCACCAUCUCUGAGUUAAAAACACACUCUGUACGGACUGAAUAUAUUUGUUGUAAAGUAGAGGCUUUAGAUUUUUAAAUAGUUUUAUUUAAUUGGAUGGUGUUAUUCUGUCCUCUAGUCUCCAUGACUACCAAGUACCAACUAACUUAGCCAAAGCCAAACUUCGCCGUUAAGAACAGCCGAAGCUUUGUUUGAGCUUUCGGUAUCGAAUAUGUUAUAAGCCAAGGGGGGCUGGCAGACGUCUAGUCUUGGACUUAGACGGAAAAGACAUGCACCAAGUUCUAAAAUCUAAAUAAUUUCGUAAACUAAAGGGUGUUUGGGUGGUAGAUGGGAAUGAGAAUAAGAGGUAUGAGAAUGAACAUACGUGGAAAGAAUGAUUUAUUCAUCAAAUAGGAAUGAGUUUUCCAUUCCAUACUUGGAUGGUCCACAUCUCAGGGUCAGACGGCGAUGAGUUUGUGAUUUCUGUUAACCGGGCUCAUUAACUAUACAGCAAACAUCCCUUAAUUGGAUUAGGAAGGGAAGUGAUGGCUUAAGCUGCCAGCUACGCCGAGCCGAUUGGAAGAGAGAACAGCCUCUACGCAAAGGAAAAUGCACAUCAGCACAUGGGAGCAAGGUGAGAAGUGAACACCCGUCCAGCCCGGAAGAGAGCUAUAAUGGUACCAAUUUUCCCUAAGGCUCACACACCUACACGUGUGCACUUUUGAAACUCUCCACUCUUUAGCCCUACCAAGAAAAAACAAUAAAAAUCAGAACCGUACAUGAGCACGUUAAAACAAUUUAAAGUAACCGCCGAUACAUUCAAGCCCACUGUAUCGAAUACUCCCUCCAAAGUAAUGAGAAAGAGAAAGAAAAGUAGGUAAAGUGGUGGGACCCAUUAAUAUUUAAGUGAUAGAUUUGGAAAAGUAGAUGAAAGUAGUUGGUGGGUGGGGUUUUUAUAUUAUAAAAUUUUACUAUUUUGGGAAAGUUUUGAAAUGUAUACAAUUGAAUGGGACAUCCCGAAAAGGAAAGUGUAUAGAAAUCAAAGGGACGGAGGGAGUAACCAAUACCAUUGUGGCAAUGUAGGUGGAGUACGCUUCUUUAGAGUCUUAUCUUCACCGUUUUAUUGUACUUGUGAUAAGCUGCAGUGCAGUGCUUUCUGACUGGGGCCGUGCUUUGUUGUUUCGUUUAGUGCCUUAACAUCAUACUUUAAUUUCAUCGUUGAAAAUUUGGGCCAACUAAGUCAGAGAUUGCAUCAUCUAUAUUAAACGUGGCUAGAUUCAGAGUUAGACAGACUCACUGAUGUGCCCACAAUCCUUUGAUAUUUUCUCUUUGUAUUUUGUUACUGAAUAUUCUCAAGACAUUUGGAGAAGAGUCUGGUUUCAGAGUUAAGAGCAACUCCAGCCGCUUCUCUAUUUCAUGUCCUAAGUCCAAUUAUAAGGAAUAUGACAUAAAUUAGUGUUCCAGCAGUGUCUUAGAGGUGCCUUAAAUCAGUAGGAUCCUCAUUCCAUGCCUUAUUAGCCAUGCCUUAUUUGAUUUCUUUAAUAAAAAAAUCAUUUCUCUCUCUUAUUGUAACUUAUUUUCUCUCUCUUCCUUCCAUCUUUUAUCAAUCUCUUUCCAAAUUUAUUAUUAUAAUAAUAAUAAGGAAUGAAUUAUAAGGAUCA